Long non-coding RNA from Anarrhichthys ocellatus (wolf-eel), 9964 nucleotides. RefSeq lists it as uncharacterized. The transcript has 4 exons. NCBI's taxonomy places the organism in Eukaryota, Metazoa, Chordata, Actinopteri, Perciformes, Anarhichadidae. The record is from RefSeq and is a predicted model, not a curated record.
UUCACAGAGUACAUGUGAAUAGAGAUGGAUAUAUUUUCCACAUUAGUCAUAAAAAGUUUACAGCGCUCUACACUCACAGUGACAUUAUUGAACCCAGCUGCCAUCGGAUGGUUCUGCGCCGGUGGAAUAAUCACACGAUCCUGCUGCAGUGAACACAUUAUCAAUCAUUAACCAGACACGGUAGGCAAAAAGAUGCUGCUAGCUAGCUAGCUUACCUCCUCAUUGUUGUUAAAAAUAUAUUUUUUGAAAAUGGUCUGGAGCAUUUUGGGUAGAUACAGUAUGUGGCUGGUAUAUUAACCAUGAUUGGUUGGUUAUUUUAGAGUGUAAAAGUGUCACUUAGUAAAUUAAAAGACUGUUGAAUACGCUUGUUAGGAUACUUUUUAUUUAGCUAGCCAGAUCUUUACGCACAAUAACGAUAUGACCAUGUCUUUGUUGUAGUUAUAAUAUCAUUUAAACUGACUCCUCUUUCGAUGCUUACUCUUUCUCCUUCUUAUCUGCUCUGUUUUGUUCUCCCUGUGCUUACUCUACAUCAUAUUAGAGUAUAUAGAAGUUAUGCUAGUAUGCUAGCAUAACUUCUAAUCAUCCAAAGUCAACGCUGCCUCACUUACCACAUGACAAUGUUUUUUGACAAUGUAAGAUAGAAGAGCUAUAAAUGCUACAAAUGACCCUUUAAUACUCAUGAAACAAAUUUGACUGGAUGUUUGUCAAAUGUUUGGGUGUCAGAUUAACUCACUGAGAGGUCUGGUGCAUACGAUUCAUUUCUGAAGCCAGCACCAGCUGAGGAAGAUGACGGACCGUUCACAGGCUGGACCAUCUGUCUGGUUCGCAGGUAGUAAAUCAGCAGGGCGAUCAACGUGCCGAUCAGCAGCAGGACCACGAUGACGGACGCUGCGAUCCCUCCGGCGUUGUCCUGCUUUGGUGAGGCUACGGGGAAGGUGGACAACAUUUAGCUUCCGGUUCUACGAGAUGAUUGUGUUGAGGACGACAGGAAGUCAGUCAAAGGGCUGCACUACUGGUGUUUGCAUUUUAGGUUAGUUGACAAAACUGCUGGCAAUUAGACAAACUCCUUUAGUGCUGAACAUUUUUAAAAGCCAAUCUCCUAAUCCCAAGUGAAUAUUUUAGUGUAGUUUGUGAAAUUACAUUACAUUAAUCUCAAAAAAGAGAAAAGAUGCUUUCUACCAGAUUUAGCUUUGAUCUGCAGUCUUGGUGCAGGUGAAAGGAAACAUUACAUUUCAAAUCUUUGAGCGGAUUAAAUAAAGAACGAAAGAAGACGCAUAAGCAUAUAUCCCAAAAUGACCCCAACUAUUAUUUGAAAAAAAUUCCAGUUAAUGGUCUGGAAAACAUUCAAAACCACUGGCCCUUCUUACUUGCAUCUGUGACUUCGUUAGCGCAGUUGACUCCGACGGUGUACUCGAUGUCAUCCAGAGCCACAACGCCCGAUGUGCCUUUGAUUCCUUCAAGCACAAUCUGUAGACAACAAAGACAAGACGACAGCAGAGAGAGCGGUCCGUCAGUCCUGUGCAACACAUUUAGUCAAGUGCAAAACUUGAAUGCACCGUUGAGCUGUGGAUAAGCUUACAUACAGUACGCUACAUAGAGAGCACUAUAUUGGUGUCUAGAUUAGACACAGUAUAUUUAUCUUCUGGCAAGUGAGAGUCUGACCUGGUAUUCCUUAGUAGACGUGAUGUUGACGUCAAAGCGUUUCCACGGCCCUCCCAGUUCACUCACCACCAGCAGCUGAUGGAGACUACCUUCAGAUAACCUCCACACCCUCAGCUGGCUGUCCGCUGCAUGUGUGAGAAAUAUAAGUUCAAAAUAUCAAAAUGGGAAGUGCAUCACACACAUCCAGACUACAUCCGACAGGCUUUCACGAUAACAUCCAUCCUUACACGAGUAUGGCUUGUAGGCCCAGAAUUUCAAGCAGGUGCCCUUGGUCGGGGGCAGGUGAGGGCUCAGCAACUGAGCUUUUUCAGAGGGUGCCGUCCGGUUGCUGCUUGGAAAGAACAGGAAGUGACCUGGCGGAGAGGAAAGGGAAGGUAGGUUAUUUCACACUUCGGUACAUGUCGUCGGAUAAAAACAAAAAAACAGACAAACGGACACACGUAACGUUUGUGUUAAAAAUGAUCAAAGUGUUGUUCUCACUGCUUCCUGACUCUCAGUGCGAAGAUCUUUGUUGAAACGCAUGACCGUAUGUAGGUUUUGCCACAACGUGCACAGUCAAAGUAGCUCUGUCUCUGUCUGGUUUACCUUUCUCUGUGCCCAGACUGUGGUCCUCAUUCGGGGUGGGGUAGUGGCUCUCUGCCUCCCGACUCGUCAGCUCCCAGUCCAGUUUGUCCACUUUGACGUUUUGAGUGUUGCUCCAGCUACACAUCCCUCUCUCCAGACUGCACUUAGAACCUGAAAUAUAAAAAAAGAAAUUGGUGGAUUGCUCCAUUUAAAAAGCCCAUUAUGCAUCAACACGACUCCCAAGGAGGAGCAGCGCGCCUGCACAAGCGUGAGACUCUUUUAUUUGGAAGUGUUUUAGAUAGCGAGGUUUUAGCGAAGAUGGAUGUGUUUGGGAAGUAGUGAGCAUACAACUGGAUCAAUUAGAGUGGCAUCAUGCUGCACUAGUUGUGUGAGAGUAAAUAGAUGUUUUCAUAUAGUUUUGCUGUUGUUGAAUGCGGCCCCCAUUUACUUCAAUUGAUCGAGACAUUUUUCUCCGUUUUUGGAUUCUUUAUUCAACAUUGAGACAUGCAAGAAAAAUAAUUCUUCAAGAAUUCAAGGUAAUACAGGGUGAUUAAUAAAGGAUCAUUUUGUGGCUCAAGAGUUCUUUUGAUUUGGCUGACGCCGAUACAAACCUUGGUCUUCACAUGGGCGAGCUGAAAUGAAGAUGUCAUCAACUGCAACGUGAGUGUCUUUGCCUCCGGCUCCGACCACCUCAAACUCCAGCUGCAGAGCAGAACAAAGCAUCAUCUUAGUUAAAACGUCAAACACGACAUCAUAUAAAAAGGUAACGGACCUUUUAUACGAUCCCAAUUUUCUAAAGCUGCUGGAGAAAUGGAACAUUUAACAUGCUGAUCUUCCUUAUAAGUGUGCAUCCUCACAUUGAAGAGAAACUGUAAAUGGGACAGGAACGCAAAGCAAUGAUAUCUGAUUUUUAGACAGUUUCAAUAGUUUGUACUAUUGUAAAAGUCUAUAAUUGUUCCAGUCUCCACAAUGUACCUGCCAGUCCACAAGGGCACUGGAGAUGUUGCCGUUGCCUUGGCGCCAGACAUCUCCCUGGUUCAGACUGUCAGAGAAGCUCUUCACUCUUUCUCCCUUCACCGGCUUCAUAUACAACGUCAGAGAACCUGCAAAGUACACAGAGUUCUGUUGUGGGGUUUCUUGUCAUGUUUGUGUGUGCGCGUGUGUUUCACUGUAUGACUGUGUCUCACCAGGAUUCACUCCGCCCAUGUGAUACCAGAAAUGGACGCACUCGGUCUUGGCGGUUGCUUGGCGAACAGGGGAGGUGAGGGCUGACGUGGAACCCGACGGAAGGAAGCCCACCCCGGUGUUAACCAACAUGUAGAAACCUGAGCCACCAAACAGUUUAGUCUCCAGAGUGUGGUCGGUCUCGGGUCCGGUCACCGUGGCGGUGCGUCCGCUGCGGUGAAGCCAGUGAACUUUACCAGAGCUUUUGUAUCCACACCGCUGGCCUUCAAAGGAACACAUCCUCGGCACGGUGCACGGACGGUCCACGAACGCCACAUCGUCAAUGGCCACGCGCCCGUCAAAACCAGAGCGGGCUGCUUCAAACAUCAGCUGGAGGCGAAAGGUCGGAGAGGGCUGACUGCAGUCAUUCCAUACCCGGAAGGUAGUGAGCUGGUGCGGCACCGGGCAGUGCGCCUCGUGCCACACGUUGCCGUGAGCUGCACUGCGGGUCCAGAGGACGGCCUCAUAACCGUUGUUAUUCAACAGCUUCACAUUCAGAGUACCUGGACGGGACCGGACGGGGAGGACGGGGCAACUCAGGCUGGCAGAGCCUACAUGUACCAUGAUGCAUUGCAUGUGAGCUUCUGAUGCCUGGAGGGUCCCCACCAGCCUUAUCGUCUUGCACGGCUCGUGGAGCUGCAGCCUCAGCCUCUCUGAUGAAUUCAUUGCUUCAAUGGACUACAUUUACCCUCAACAAUGAUUGGACAUCCAUCAAAAGGUGGUGAGUUUUCCCUUUAACUUCAAUGUAGGUAAAGGGAAAGGUAAAUCAUCUGUUUCCCCCUCAGGCUCAGAGAAAGAGAUGCUUCUUUAACAUUCCAGUCAGUCUUGUCCUCACCUGUGUUCGGCCCGUAGAGUUUGUAGAAGAAGGACAGGCAGUGAUCUGAAGGAAUUGGUAACUGUGGGAAUGAAACUAAGCGUCCGAACGCACCGCGCAGAGAAGGGCUCCACAUAUCCACCAUGAGACUUCUGCCUGGAGGUCAACAGAGAGGCGGGCGGGAAAGGAAGUGAGCUUCAAAGCAUCACAAGUACAGCAAUGGCACCUUAUACACUGCAGUCAUACUGUGUUGUCUUAUAGUGAUUAUGAGUGAUGCAAUGAAUGAGCUACAUACUAAGUUCAACACAUUUACCACAAAUAGACAAAGAUCUGUUCACUUUAGCUCUAUUAAAAACAGCAAUUUAUUAUUCAUUUAGAUCGCACAUUUAAACUGGUUUGGUAUUUUCUGUUGAACACAACUACAAGAACUGGAGUUUCUUCAACAGAAUUGAGUGCCGUUUUCACAGUGUUGUCACUUUCUGUACCCGGAUACAGAGUGACAACCGGUAUGAAAAUAAUAUUAAUAAUAGCUUUUAGCCUCGAAGGCUGUGCUGGGACUAGAAUAACAUCCCAAAUGUCAGUUACAAGAAUGUCCCCCUCGUGAACAUGGAAGUGAUUUGAGGUUUUAGUAGUUUUGAGGGUUAAAUGUUCUCACAAAAGAAACUAUGAACACUAUGAAUAUGAAUACUCUUUGUAUCAAACUAUUAGCAUAUAUGAGGAUAAUGAGAAAGAAGAAUAUUCCUUUUAUUAUAACUGCUCCAAACCAUGAUUACACAAUAUCCUCCUAUGUACUCCAUAUGACACAUUUAAAAUCUGAUGUUUUCUACCAGUGACGUCCAGGAAAGAUGGAGGCGUGUCUGAGAUACUCCCUCCUAAAAAAUACACUGUAUAUCCGUAUUUUUAUGAUUUUAAAGGAGCUUACCGAUCCCGAUGGUGUGGUCCAUCCCAUCCACCACCGCCCAGUCAAAGUUGUCACUGUUGUCCUGAUACCAUCCACAUAGUCCAUCCUCGAAGUUACACGACAGCCCUAAACAAAAACGCAAUGACACAUUUCCGGGUAACAUCGUAAAGUCUGCAUUAUGCAACGUCAUGUGUGUGUACUGAAGAUGGGUUUGAGUUACCUGUUGGAGAGGAUGGGAAAUAAUCAGCAUGACAGCUGACAAAGCGAACGUUUUUCACUUUAAUGUUGGCACUUGGAGGAAGUUUCACAGCACGAGCUUCGAAGGCCAGCUGGCAAAGAUAAAACAAGGACAACAAAAGAGCCCUGAUGAGUGAAAUUCACAAAUUUUAACUUUAACUUCAAGUAAAGUAGAUUUUUAACCAGUUCCACAAGGUGAAACUGUUGUAUUUAGAUGGAUUAGAUUUAGAUCGAAGGUCAAGGCUUUGUGAAUAUUCCUCAAACGUCUACAGCUCUAAAUGUUUUCAGACAACCUGUCUUUUCUUUUCCUUAAAAGCUUGACCUCCAGUCAUUUCUGAGACCAGACAUUCAUUUCUGCGAGUCAAGUCUCAUCUUCAAUGCAAACAUCUUAAAUGAAAUAAUGACAAUUAUAGCAUCCCUGAGAAAAUUAAGCUGACCUGGAAGCGAUCUUUUCUGACUCCAAUAGGCAGGUUGACAUGUUGCCACGCCCCCUCCCCUGUUCCAGUCUUCCCACUGAACUCCCACAGCUUAGGCCGCGUGCCCAGCAAACUGUCGAUCACCCUGACGGACAGCUCACCUGCAGCGGAGACACGUAAACAGAGUCAUGUCAAAAGAUCUUUGACAUGACUCAGAGUCGUGUGUCCCGAGGUAAGAAGUGAAAAGAAGACAUGUGGGAUAAUAAGUUAAUUUAGUUACCAGCGUGAUCUAGACUCCCCGUUAGAGCAAAAUCAAAGCGCAGGGUGCAGGCAGGGCCGGAGGGGCCCAGGAGGGGGGUCCGUGUCUGGGCCUCGGUCAGCUGCUGGCCUGGGGCCUCGGAUACGUACAGGUACAUCUCUAAGCAAUAUGAAAGAAUCAAACAUUAUGUCAUUUGGUGAUUUUCAUCCACUAAAUAUGAGUAAACAGUGAUGUGAGUUGUACCUUCGGAUGUGACAUUUGCGUGUAGCAGCCAACCUUGACUCCCAAUGCUGGCGUCAGUCCAACCUGAGCUGCCCUCAGUGUAAGAGAAAUCCCCUGCAGAAAGGAUUCGUGGAGACAUGAGAUCACACAAAGCUCAGUGCAUGAGACAGAUAUAAAAGAGAUAUAAAAGCCAGGCUUAAGGAUAUUAAUACAAAAAAGAAUAAAUGACGGUUAAUCUACCUGCUAAAUUUCCCUUUAAGGACAGCUAUUACAGUUUUUUUUUGCCAAGACAAAAACUGUUAUUUGCACUACAAUUAUUGACACCAAUGACUCAUGAAGCCCAUCUAUUGACCAGCUAUGCUGAACCAUAAGCACACUGUUCGCUUCACACAUAAACAAAAUUAUUGUUUUCAUAUCUAGUAAUUUGUUCAAUUGGGGGGGGUGGGGCCCUGGGGACUCCUGAGGUCUAAAGCAGCUUCCACUGGCUCUAAUAACAAUCGUAAUUUCUUUUACACUUUUGUAGUCCCGUCGAUAAAAGUGAGGCAGAAUAAAGAGAAGGAAUAGACUCACCACAUUUGUCUUCAUCCUCUGCUCCGGCACAGUCUUGAUGGAAAUCACACAUCUUGUCUGGUUCAGCACACGGGUCUUUAGGAGAUGGAGGGAAACUUGCCCAGGUAUCAUUGGCUGUUCGAGAGGAGAAUGUGAGAUGGCAGAUUUAUCACAGUGUUUAUCAGAGUGUUUGCUCUCAUUCUUUGCAGAUGUGGAAUAUUUUUUUUCUUCAAAAAAAAGACUGUUAGAAGGAUUACCAGAUGACAAGCGGCAUUCAGGAGACAACACAAUGCUGUCGACAGCGAUGCCUCCAUACGCAAAGUCCCUGACUGCUGCCAUCAUUACGAUCUAUAAUGACAGAAAAUGGAGGCAAAUGUAUGUAUAGCAAUAACAAUUUCCUUCAAGACUAAAGCUCUGAAGUGUCAUUUACCCAUUUGGUGAAAACAAUUGCUCUUUAAAAUAUAUCUGAAAACUAAAGGCCCUCAUUUCUAUAUUGAUCAGGAUUUGUCAUUCAAGGACUGAAUUAAAAAUUCUCUUAAAAGUAAAUUUACUUUGGAACCAAAUUCCCAUGAACAUGCAUUGCCAUAAACAACUGUUUGUAUUGCACUUUGCACUUUGUUGUGUUUUGCUUUUAUUGAUACACCAACCAUACCUAAAAACUGUUAUUUUCUAGAAUAUUGGGCGGAUUUUUUAUCAGCAUGGCUCAUUACUAAGUCUCCUAUGCUAAUAUGUGUGCAAACGAUCACUUUUCUCUUACAUGUUUCAAUUAAAAUGCCAUUUACACUUGUGAUAAAAAACAAAACAAAUAUGUGAAUCAGGUUUGUUACCCUAUCUUCAGCACCUCUGUUUAUAGGCUACGGCUACAAACUCAGGUGAAGUACUCACUUGAAAAAUGGAGUCGGUGACAAUCUCCACCUCUGCCUUCACCCAGACAUCGCCCAGAGCGCCGCCCCUCUCCCACACCGGGUAGAUCUCACUAUCUGCCACCAGCACCGUCAGACCGCCGGACCUCGGCCCAAACUGGUGAGUGUACAUCACCAUCUACAGCGGGCAGAGACAGAGAACUGGUCAGAAAUAUCUUCCUUUUUAAUCAAAAAUGUCCGACUGUGAGGAAAUCCCUGUGAAAAUUGAAGCGCAAGAGUAAAAUGAAAACCUCUCUGACUGAAGAGGGAAAGGGUUUGGGACUCACCUUGCAAGGAUGUGAAAUGUUGGUGGGCUCGAGGCGGGGACUUUGGAACGCAGCCCAGUCAUGUGUGAGACCACCAUCAGGGACAGUGACAUAAAGGAAGUGACCUGCAAUGAUAAUAGUGAUAUCCUGCAUUUACAUAUAAUUAUUUCUUAUGUUUAAAAACAACAUCUGAACAUAUUGACAUCGUCAGACUAUGAUACCUGUUGCGCUGUUGUUGGAGUGAUCCCUGCCUGGUCCCUUCAGAGGAUCCGUGACGGAGAUGUUCUCCUGAUUGGUCCUGACCCAUCUCAGUUUGGACAGUGAACUCAGGUCCCAAUCACAAGAGCCCUCCUCGAAGUCACACGCCCGGUAUCCAUCUGGAGACACAAUAAACACACGCAGCUUACAUUGACUGGUGCUCACUGAAUGUGUACAUGCACGGGUUGAAUGUACGGAAACGUUGCCUCUUCUCACUGAAUAUCAGCAACGUUGUGGAGUGUUGAAAAGUGUAUUCCAUACAGACAGCUGUGGGGGAAAUUCAAUAAAUUCUGCCGGGAAUUUGGGAAAAAUUCUGGGAACUUUGCAAAGUAGGUACUUUGCAAGAAUAUCACAGAAUACAUUUCACAGCAAGACAAAGUGGUGUGGAAAACGCAAGUAGGUGGACUUUGACUUACGAAUUUUUCUCAGGUUUUUUUCCACUAAAAAACACGUUCUCCUAACGUAUUUGUCAUAUUGAGCAAUGUAAAUACUUUUUUUUUAUGUCCCGGAUUUUGAAGACUUCUGCCUUCAACCAAAUACAAUGGAGGUGAAGGGAGUUGUAUUUGUGGAGCUAAAAAACAUGAAAAAUGACAUUUGAAAAACUGGGAUAUAAACAAUAUCCCAGUAAAACGUUUUUCAUUGGGAAUUUCACUAGAAAGUAGUCCGGUGAAAUUUGCAGAGGUCAUCCAACACCACAAAGUGUACGAAUUUUCUUUUUUUAUUGCUGGUUGAACUGCCGCUCUAAUCUCUUAUGACAGAGUUUUUUGUACUUUGUCCAUUUGUACAGUGAGUCAUCCGUGUCUGGACAAAUUCCAAACAUAUGUACUUUCCCGUGGUGUCAGAGGGCUCUGUGCUGUAAUAUUUCUCACCACAGUUCUCCUCAUCAGUCCCGUCACCGCAGUCGUCGCUGCCGUCACAGAGCUGUCGCUGCUCCACGCAGCCCCCCCGCCUACACGCCUUCAUCUCUGGGGGACACCCUUCCCCAGAGAGAGGGACUGAUGACGUAGCGAGAGAUAAAAAUCAUUAUGCUCAUCGUGGUUCAGCAACUUUAACUGAUCAAUUUACAGAUUCAUUACAAUUAACUGCUGAUGGGACUGUACAUGAGUGGUGUAUUUUGAGGGACUCACGGGGCAGAGCGCAGUCCAGAAACUCCAUCUGGUCCACCGCCACGUCUCCUCUUCGCCCCUCGGAGCGCCGCGAGCGCAGACGGAUUUGGAAGCCUGUGGGAAUGCGGCCCAGAAAGACGGUGGCCUCCCUCCAGCCACGUACGCUGGAGGCCUCGGGACGCCACACGACGGCCUCUCGAGAGUCCUGGCGAAGGAUGGACACCCACAAGGGCGUGGAGCCCAGACCCGUGUGACCUAAUAAACAACAACAACAACAACAACAACAAUAACUAUGUCUACUAAUACGUUUAAAAAGGCUACAGUUGGAGAAUCAAUACAAUUAUGAGACAAUUACAAAACAUAAAUUACGUGCAAUAAUGUUUCAAAUGUGCAAUUAUUCAACUGCUCAAUACAUCCAUUGAUACAGCAUUUAUACUUUUGUAUUCAUACUUGUGUUAUAUAUUGUAGCAUUGUGUACAUCAUUUACAUUGUAUUUUACUUUGUCCUUUAUUUAAAUGUUUUUCUUAUAUUUCUGUAAUAUACUAACUUCCCACCUUUAUCAAUAAAGUAUUCUGAUUACAAGC